Molecule: ribosomal RNA, 460 nt
Filed under: uncultured bacterium
Lineage: Bacteria
Description: partial 16S ribosomal RNA
Rfam family: Bacterial small subunit ribosomal RNA
Source: RNAcentral
CCUACGUGAGGCAGCAGUGAGGAAUAUUGGUCAAUGGGCGCGAGCCUGAACCAGCCAAGUAGCGUGAAGGAUGACUGCUCUACGGGUUGUAAACUUCUUUUAUAAAGGAAUAAAGUGAGACACGUGAGCCUUUUUGUAUUUACUUUAUGAAUAAGGAUCGGCUAACUCCGUGCCAGCAGCCGCGGUAAUACGGAGGAUCCGAGCGUUAUCCGGAUUUAUUGGGUUUAAAGGGAGCGUAGAUGGGUUGUUAAGUCAGUUGUGAACGUUUGCGGCUCAACCGUAAAAUUGCAAUUGAUACUGGCAGCCUUGAGUGCAGGUGAGGAAGGCGGAAUUCGUGGUGUAGCGGUGAAAUGCUUAGAUAUCACGAAGAACUCCGAUUGCGAAGGCAGCCUACUAAACUGCCACUGACAUUGAUGCUCGAAAGUGUGGGUAUCAAACAGGAUUAGAUACCCCGGUAGUC